Small RNA from Phaeobacter sp., 286 nucleotides. It matches the Rfam family "5' ureB small RNA". The record is from Rfam. Lineage: Bacteria; Pseudomonadati; Pseudomonadota; Alphaproteobacteria; Rhodobacterales; Roseobacteraceae.
CGUCUUCGAUUUGUUGGGGGCAGAUAAAGUGGAUGUGGCUGUCGAAACCGCCAGCCGUCAAAAUCCGGCCUUCUCCCGCAAUAGCCUCGGUGCCGGGCCCGACAAUAAUGUCUACACCCGGUUGGGUGUCGGGGUUUCCGGCCUUGCCGAUUUUGGCGAUGCGCCCGUCUUUCAGUCCGACAUCCGCUUUGUAGAUCCCGCUAUGGUCCACGAUCAGAGCAUUGGUGAUAACCGUAUCGACCGCGCCUUCGGCGCGGGUGGUCUGGGCUUGGCCCAUGCCGUCACG